Molecule: ribosomal RNA, 766 nt
Filed under: Acinetobacter johnsonii
Lineage: Bacteria; Pseudomonadati; Pseudomonadota; Gammaproteobacteria; Moraxellales; Moraxellaceae
Description: bacterial SSU rRNA
Rfam family: Bacterial small subunit ribosomal RNA
Source: RNAcentral
GAUCCAGCCAUGCCGCGUGUGUGAAGAAGGCCUUUUGGUUGUAAAGCACUUUAAGCGAGGAGGAGGCUACUUGGAUUAAUACUCUAGGAUAGUGGACGUUACUCGCAGAAUAAGCACCGGCUAACUCUGUGCCAGCAGCCGCGGUAAUACAGAGGGUGCGAGCGUUAAUCGGAUUUACUGGGCGUAAAGCGUGCGUAGGCGGCUUUUUAAGUCGGAUGUGAAAUCCCUGAGCUUAACUUAGGAAUUGCAUUCGAUACUGGGAAGCUAGAGUAUGGGAGAGGAUGGUAGAAUUCCAGGUGUAGCGGUGAAAUGCGUAGAGAUCUGGAGGAAUACCGAUGGCGAAGGCAGCCAUCUGGCCUAAUACUGACGCUGAGGUACGAAAGCAUGGGGAGCAAACAGGAUUAGAUACCCUGGUAGUCCAUGCCGUAAACGAUGUCUACUAGCCGUUGGGGCCUUUGAGGCUUUAGUGGCGCAGCUAACGCGAUAAGUAGACCGCCUGGGGAGUACGGUCGCAAGACUAAAACUCAAAUGAAUUGACGGGGGCCCGCACAAGCGGUGGAGCAUGUGGUUUAAUUCGAUGCAACGCGAAGAACCUUACCUGGUCUUGACAUAGUAAGAACUUUCCAGAGAUGGAUUGGUGCCUUCGGGAACUUACAUACAGGUGCUGCAUGGCUGUCGUCAGCUCGUGUCGUGAGAUGUUGGGUUAAGUCCCGCAACGAGCGCAACCCUUUUCCUUAUUUGCCAGCGGGUUAAGCCGGGAACUUUA